Molecule: ribosomal RNA, 775 nt
Filed under: uncultured Neocallimastigales
Lineage: Eukaryota; Fungi; Neocallimastigomycota; Neocallimastigomycetes; Neocallimastigales
Description: partial large subunit ribosomal RNA
Rfam family: Eukaryotic large subunit ribosomal RNA
Source: RNAcentral
AUAUCAGUCAUGCAUAGCAUAUCAAUAAGCGGAGGAAAAGAAACUAACAAGGAUUCCCUUAGUAACGGCGAGUGAAGCGGGAAGAGCUCAAAUUUGAAAUCUUCAAGGUUCUACCUUGACGAAUUGUAGUUUAUAGAAGUGUUUUCUGUUAGUAGGAGUGGCAAAAGUUCUUUGGAAUAGGACAUCAUAGAGGGUGAGAAUCCCGUAUUUGGUCAUUCCUCCUAGCGUUGUGAUACACUUUCAACGAGUCGGAUUGUUUGGGAAUGCAGUCCAAAAUGGGUGGUAAAUUUCAUCUAAAGCUAAAUAUUGGCGAGAGACCGAUAGUGAACAAGUACCGUGAGGGAAAGAUGAAAAGAACUUUGAAAAGAGAGUUAAACAGUACGUGAAAUUGUCAAAAGGGAAGCGUUUGACACCAGUGUUGUUUUUCCGAAAAUCAAUUACGAAUGUUUUGUUUUUAAGAAGUUAUGACUUCAUCGGCUUGCUCCUUUCUUUACGAAACUUUCUUAAUGCACUUUUCGGUUAACAAGUCAACAUCAAUUUCUUUUGUUGUAAAAGGGUAUGAGGAAGGUGGCUUUCUUUUCGGAGAAAGUGUUUAUAGCCUUGUGCCUCUGCAAUCGGAGAGAUUGAGGUCUGCAGCGUAGAUCCUUCGGGGUUAGAUACAUUUGUGCUAAGCUAUAGCCUUUCAUAGACAACUUGUUGACUAUGAUCAGUCAUGUAGCUUACUCGCUUAUGUCAUUUUACCUACGCUUAGGAUGUUGAUGUGAUACUGCGAGCA